RNAcentral lists this ribosomal RNA (421 nucleotides) under uncultured bacterium. RNAcentral's name for it is "partial 16S ribosomal RNA". It matches the Rfam family "Bacterial small subunit ribosomal RNA", at positions 360 to 773 of the family's 1533-position model. The record is from RNAcentral.
AAUUUUGGACAAUGGGGGCAACCCUGAUCCAGCCAUCCCGCGUGUGCGAUGAAGGCCUUCGGGUUGUCCAGCACUUUUGGCAGGGAAGAAAAGGCUCUGGCUAGUAACUGGGGUUGCUGACGGUACCUGCAUAAGACGCACCGCCUAACUACGUACCGGCAGCCGCGGUAAUACGUAGGGUGCAAGCGUUAAUCGGAAUUACUGGGCGUAAAGCGUGCGCAGGCGGUUCGGCAAGAAGGAUGUGAAAUCCCAGGGCUUAACCUUGGAACUGCAUUCUUAACUGCCGGGCUAGAGUAUGUCAGAGGGGGGUAGAAUUCCGCGUGUAGCAGUGAAAUGCGUAGAGAUGCGGAGGAAUACCGAUGGCGAAGGCAGCCCCCUGGGAUAAUACUGACGCUCAUGCACGAAAGCGUGGGGAGCAAAC